This 1031-nucleotide ribosomal RNA is filed under the name Biscogniauxia petrensis. Its description in RNAcentral is "SSU rRNA". It matches the Rfam family "Eukaryotic small subunit ribosomal RNA", at positions 74 to 1116 of the family's 1831-position model. The record is from RNAcentral. RNAcentral also lists the same sequence under 1 other name. Lineage: Eukaryota; Fungi; Ascomycota; Sordariomycetes; Xylariales; Xylariaceae.
UUAUACAGCGAAACUGCGAAUGGCUCAUUAUAUAAGUUAUCGUUUAUUUGAUAGUACCUUACUACUUGGAUAACCGUGGUAAUUCUAGAGCUAAUACAUGCUAAAAAUCCCGACUUCGGAAGGGAUGUAUUUAUUAGAUUAAAAACCAAUGCCCUCUGGGCUCUCUGGUGAUUCAUGAUAACUUCUCGAAUCGCAUGGCCUUGCGCCGGCGAUGGUUCAUUCAAAUUUCUUCCCUAUCAACUUUCGAUGUUUGGGUAGUGGCCAAACAUGGUUGCAACGGGUAACGGAGGGUUAGGGCUCGACCCCGGAGAAGGAGCCUGAGAAACGGCUACUACAUCCAAGGAAGGCAGCAGGCGCGCAAAUUACCCAAUCCCGAUUCGGGGAGGUAGUGACAAUAAAUACUGAUACAGGGCUCUUUUGGGUCUUGUAAUUGGAAUGAGUACAAUUUAAAUCCCUUAACGAGGAACAAUUGGAGGGCAAGUCUGGUGCCAGCAGCCGCGGUAAUUCCAGCUCCAAUAGCGUAUAUUAAAGUUGUUGUGGUUAAAAAGCUCGUAGUUGAACCUUGGGCCUGGUUGGCCGGUCCGCCUCACCGCGUGUACUGGUCCGGCCGGGCCUUUCCCUCUGUGGAACCCCAUGCCCUUCACUGGGUGUGGCGGGGAAACAGGACUUUUACUUUGAAAAAAUUAGAGUGCUCCAGGCAGGCCUAUGCUCGAAUACAUUAGCAUGGAAUAAUAAAAUAGGACGUGCGGUUCUAUUUUGUUGGUUUCUAGGACCGCCGUAAUGAUUAAUAGGGACAGUCGGGGGCAUCAGUAUUCAAUUGUCAGAGGUGAAAUUCUUGGAUUUAUUGAAGACUAACUACUGCGAAAGCAUUUGCCAAGGAUGUUUUCAUUAAUCAGGAACGAAAGUUAGGGGAUCGAAGACGAUCAGAUACCGUCGUAGUCUUAACCAUAAACUAUGCCGACUAGGGAUCGGACGAUGUUAUUUUUUGACUCGUUCGGCACCUUACGAGAAAUCAAAGUGCUUGGGCUCCA